Molecule: transfer RNA, 62 nt
Filed under: Gryllus lineaticeps
Lineage: Eukaryota; Metazoa; Arthropoda; Insecta; Orthoptera; Gryllidae
Description: tRNA-Cys
Source: RNAcentral
GGUCUUAUAUUCAACGAUGAUUUUAGACUGCAAUUCUAAAGGUGUAAUAUUUACUAAGGCCU